UUUUGGCCUUCAUGUCCCCUAGGCUCUGACCUGCUGCACCGUGGAGGUGAAGACCCUAGAUGACCGUCUACUCAACAUCCCCAUCAAUGACAUCAUCCACCCCAAGUACUUCAAGAAGGUGCCAGGGGAGGGGAUGCCACUGCCGGAAGACCCCACCAAGAAGGGGGACCUCUUCAUUUACUUCGACAUCCAGUUCCCCACCCGCCUCACACCCCAGAAGAAGCAGAUGCUGCGCCAGGCGUUGCUGAUGUAACUCGGGUGGGCUGGGGCCUGAGCAGGGGUAGGGGAAAGUGAGCGGGGCCUGACCCCACCUCUACCCAGCCCCAGGGUGUGCAGGGGAGCCCACCCACUGCACAGACAGGACAUGAGGACUGGAUGGCAUGGGAUUUUUGAACUGACACAAUAAAGUUUUUAUUUCCUAUCCUCCA
Molecule: non-coding RNA, 428 nt
Organism: Odocoileus virginianus texanus
Lineage: Eukaryota; Metazoa; Chordata; Mammalia; Artiodactyla; Cervidae
Source: RefSeq, a predicted model, not a curated record